This is an RNA transcript of Acanthochromis polyacanthus (spiny chromis), 5659 nucleotides long. It is a transcript of the gene named protection of telomeres 1 homolog, with no coding region annotated. The record is from RefSeq and is a predicted model, not a curated record. Lineage: Eukaryota; Metazoa; Chordata; Actinopteri; Pomacentridae. The transcript is spliced from 19 exons.
UUAAAAAAUCUAUUCACAAAUAAUUCAUUCUAGAAUGAUUAAGGGGAUUUUGUGUGAACAUUAGCUUCUAGGGGUAUUUAAAAAUUCACUAUAAUUGUUUUGUGUCACAUGUUGUCGUCGUCAAUGUGGUAGAGUUUGUGUCAUUCUAACCUUUUUGAUUUUCUCAUUUCUGAAUUUUCAUUUUUACUGCAGAUGUUUAUUCAUUCCAAAUAUCAGUUAUUGCUCAUCAUGUUUACAAUGAAUCAAUAACAGUAUUCUUCUGAAAAGCCAUAUUGGUUGACCCCUAUGCCACACAAUUCUUGACUCAAAUAUAUGCAAAUGAAAUCUUAAAAGUGUACCCAUGUUUUUUGUCAGGGAGGCCAAGACCGAAAGGUAGUUAGUUUGGAUUGCUGUAACAGAAAAGUUGCAUCCAGACAUUGAUAGUUUGUUGUUAGUUUAAAAAUAAAAUUGAUAGCUCAAUGGCAUUUUAAGGCAUUACAAGAUGUGACUUACACUUACCAAGCUGAUCAGGGUGCAUUGUUUGGAUGAAUCAUACUUCAGUGGGUCAGCUUGGCCUCUGAGGGGAACUGGUCGGUCAUAUUUCAGUCUAUGUGACCACUGAGCAUCCUCCCACCACAGUAGUCAUAUCUGGUCCGCAGUCCUAACUGCCACACUAAAGCCAUGGUUCAGCAGUGAUUAGUAUUUGGAGACCCAUCCGGUGUUCCUAUGCAGCCUCUCCAGUCAUCAUGAGUGAUGUUGUUGGAGUGAACAUGAGUUACCCUCUGAGUUAAUGAGCAUCCUGGAGCAGCUGAGGAGUGGGUUUUGGACACGCUUGGAGAAGGAAGGUCGCCGUCUGCUCGGGGUGGCCUGGCUGACAUUUGGCAGGGAGCUUCUGUUCCACUACGGGGAUCAGCUGACUGUUUACAGCAGACUGGUGGGCUCAGUGUUGUUGUUUUGUGGGGAGGAGAUCUACUCUCAGCUUGGUCUUAGGUUGAUUGACAAACCAGCUACAGCUGGCUGCCCCAUAUAAUGAGAAGAUCAUACAAGUCUAAGUGUUAGAUUUUGUCAUGCAGGUUGUUUUUUUAACCAUGCCAAGAGGAUGCAGUGACGCUAUUUAAUGGAGAUGCAAAGCUGAUGGAGCUUCUGGUUCCACAGAUACUAUACCUUGCUAUCAAUCAAAAUUGAAAAGAUUUUUGUGAAUAAUAACCUCCACACAGAAAAAUAAGAGCCUAUCGCAGGAUUUAUUCUCACUAAAAGUUUGUACUACAUUAUGAACCUGGAGAAAACCCAUGCAUGCUCAUUGAGAACAUGUAAACUACAUGCAGGCAACGAUACUAACCAGGGAGCCACUGAGCAGCUCAGUUAAACUUGCUAAGACAAAAUAACAAAAUAAAACAACAAACAACUAAAUUCAGAGGUAGCAACAUCCAUGUGUCUGACAACAGUAAUUAACAGAUUAGUGCAAGUGUAAAUAAUUGGCAAAACGAAUGAGUGCCUUACAACACAUACAAUCUCAGAGCCACUCAUAACCAUUUCUCAAUGGCUAUGGAAAACACGACAAGUAGCUGUUAAGUUGCAGUCACAGAAGCUCAAUCACAGCCAUCUUGACUGUGAGUUUGGCUGCAGAUUUAUACCUCAGGUUUGGUGUUUGGUGCAGUUCAAUUGGUGGAGGGAGCUGGGUAGUGGACCAAUCAGGCAAGACAGUAGGUGCACUGGAGUGUAGGGCUGGUAGCCUAGCCGCGCUAGACCCAGCUGUGACGACGUCUAGUUACCCUCGGUAAGCCUCAAGGCUGGAUGCUCCUAAAACUGGUCAACGAAUCACCAUGAAGUGUAGAGUCAGAAGGCGGGGGUAACUAAGUGACGACAGAGGCGCGACGAUUCUGUCUGUAAUAUACUUGAGCUUCACCCAUUGACUGUAUAAAUAAGGCUUCUCCGAACUCCCGCAUCCUCUGAUUUCCGGCGCUCUAGGAACUACGUCAGCCUAUUCGUUGCGCUGAUUGGUUGUAUACCUACCCAAUUGCUGCAGAGUGAUUUGAAAGACAACCUUUUAGCCCGCCUCCCUCCCUGCCAAGGGUAACUAGACCCUUGCGUCAUAAGAGCUGGGUCUAGCGUGGCUAGGCUAUAGGGCUGGAGCUCCAGGCCAGUUAUCCAGGAUGACAGACAGGUGGGGUCUGGAGCAUAUGCUUGAGUCAGCUGUAGUCAAAAGUCUACACAAACCAUUUCCCCACAUAGAGGCUGCAAGAGUCAAUCACAAUAGCUACUGAGGCCUGUUACAAGGACAAUGUAAGGAUAAUGUAAGGAUGUAAACAAUAGAAUAGGAUGUGUUCAUCUGACUGAUCACGCCUUAUUCUACUCAGAUACGAUCCUCUUUGAGAACUCCUACAUGCACCUGCUUUAGCUUUCCUGUUUACCUGAUUCUUGCCACACAAACUGAACUAUUGGUAUAGAAUGCAGCCUAAAUUCGGGCAUCUUUUACAAAUAGCAUUUCCCAUUGAAAAGAUGCAGAUAAUCUGGGAGUGCAGCAAUCACUUCCUGUUGCAUUAGUUCAUUGCACAUUUUCUUCUAAGAGAUAAGGAUCUCCUAUUUGAGAUUUUUCUUCAUAUUUAGGAUUUUCAAGAUCAUAUUUCUGUUUUCCAAUUACUGUUCUCACAUUGUCUUUUGCUGUAUUAUAACUGUGUUCUGUAUCGGCAGUACAUACAGUAUCUAUAGGCUGUACCUGGCAAUGUCACAUUGGUCAAUGUAUAUCUGAAUGUCCUUGAGUUUACUUACAAGCAUUUUUUUCUGAAUAUGACUUACAUGUGAAUACAAGCAUGAAGAUUUUGGCUUUGCUUUACUUGCAUUUUAUGUAUUUUUUUUCUUGUUGUCUAAAGUUGCGGUUUGCUAAGCACUCACAGCUGGGGGUUUGAUUUACACUAAGAACUGCUCAAACAAAGGUUUACUUAGAUUAUGAAUUCAACUGAAUCUGACAUUUGGCAUCACCUUUUGAUACAUAACAGUUUUGUUUUUUGUUUUAAAAUCCUCUGUGUAUAGCCACUGAAGAGAGUUUUUACAUGUUUUUAUCGGUGUCCAGUAUAAAUCAGCAACACCAGGAUGACAGAAUCAUUUUGUAGUUUGAACUGAUCUGCCAGAUGAGCUGCAGCUGUGGAGUUCAGACUGAUGGAGCUGCAGGUGGAGGUCACCUUGACGUCAUGCCUUUCCAUGUGCUGUUGGAGGGGACAGGGACAGGCCCGCAGAUACCAGGACACCUGACCAGGAUUUCCAUCUCACUCAUCACCACCAGCACUGAGUUAACCAACAAAGUAGUUAAGGGAAAAGUGGUUCAAAAAGGGCCGCUGGUGUCGUUUGCACCUGACAACUUCAUCCUGAAGGCUGUCAUCCAAGAAGAAGAUUCUGUGUUGAAUGCCUCAUCUCAGAAUCUGCCUAUUAACGUCGUCCUUUUUGGAGAACUGGCCAAGAACUUCAGCCAAGGUGUCAAUCAAGAGGAUUUGGUGGUGGCCGCUGGCUUCACUGUGAGCAAAUCUCCCACAGUUCGUAAGGACAACCUGCACCCGUUUAACCUGCUGCUGUCUGGAGGUGGCGCCUGCAUUUAUGUGUUCCGUCCACAGCCUCCUCCUGACGGCAAACCUUCGCUGGCCAACAAGAGGAGCUCCACUCUCUCUACUGAGGUUUGUAGGAAAACUAAAAUUCCAAAAUACACAUAUGUCCGACUGGGUGACCUGUCAGCUGGAUCUGUUGUUAACGUGUAUGGCGUGGUGGUAUUCUUCAAACAGCCAUUUAAGAGCCGUGGCACAGACUCCUGCUCCAUCCUGAAGAUCACUGAUCAGUCCAACCAGAACAUCACCUGUAGCAUCUUCUGUGAGAAGCUGGAGGACCAUCCCAAAAUCUUUCAAAUUGGAGACAUUGUCCGCAUGCACAGAGUCAAGGCUCAGUUCUUCAAAGACUCCAUUUCGCUUGUCAACACCUCUGGUUUCUCUGUGGUGACAUUUGAUGGAACAGUAGGCAGAGCUGUGGAACCGCGAACAUCUAGCCGCUCUUUUCACUUCAACCAGGAGGACCGGCGGACAGUGGAGGAGCUGCGAUCCUGGGCCUCAAGCCAGGCUCUCCUCCCCACCGUUUCUGCUGCAAUCCGCCUGUCUGCUGUGCAGCCCAAAUCUUACUUUGACCUGACCUGUCAGCUGCUGGCCAAAGCCCCCAUAGACUCCACCUGCAUCCUGCUAAGGGUGUGGGAUGGGACCAGAUGUCCUCAUGCUCUGCUGAAAGUAAUUGUUGAGCCAAAUGUAACAGAAGGGCCAUCUUCCUUCUCCAUGGAGAAAGAGAACAUGAUCGCCAAUGUCUUUGUCUAUGACAACCAUCUGGAUUGUGCAAGCAAACUGAAGCUUGGGUCCUUCUUGAGGAUCUACAACCUUCGAGCAAAUCCAGGACACAGCACUGUCCCGGGCCUCACUAGCAGCCAAUCAGUGGAGGUGGAUCAUCUGGCUUUUCACCUGCACGGAGGAACGUCAUAUGGCAGAGGGAUACGGGUUCUCCCAGAAGACAGUCUCGAUGUACAAGAGCUAAAGAGAGUCUUGGAGGCCUUCCCACAUGAUGACAUGAAUGAACCCUUUGACCUGAAUGACUCAGCGCUAUUGGAGGUCUGGAGCACUCCACCAGAGUCGCUGGAUGGUGAAGCAGUAAAGUCCAGCACAGAGAGGGGCGGCACUCCUGACAUGCCACUAAAGACACUGUCUGAGCUGAAGCAGUGUGAAUUGGGUGGAGUUCACUAUGUCAGAGCCCAGCUGAGGUCGUAUGAACCACGCAGACUCCACCAGGCUCUGAAACUCUACUGCAGCAAGUGCACAUCAAUGCAGGAAAUCCCAGAUGAUGAGCUGGUGGCAGGAAUCUUCUCUGAGGCAUCCAGUGACUAUGAACCUUGUAAUGCCCCACCAUGGGCGUUACUGUCCGCCUUCCUCACAGAUGCCCCAGGGUCCCCAGAUCGAGUUCUGACACUUCUUCAGCCCAAACAGCUCAUGUCUGAAGUCAAAACCAAGGAGUUCAUCUUCCUCAUGGGUACAACUCUUCAGGAAAUGUGUCGACUAGCAGCCAGCUCCCAGAACAUCAUCCCAGUGAGGUCAUCAGGACGUCAGAUUACUCUGCUUGACCUGUCAGCACCUUUUCUGUUCAGAGGCAGAAAGAGACACUACGGGUGUAAGCGGUGCUCUGAGACUGUAUUGAGGGAGCCGAGUGCUGAGGGAGUCGAGGUGAUCGAUGAGAAGAUCGUUGCAGGAGUUGUCGGCCUUGGAUGAUGAGGUCCAGUUACCAGGAGCACCAGUCUGCAGCUUACUGGUUCCGUCCUGCAGCUCCUCCACGCUGUCCUCCUCUCUACAGACCAAAUCAAGAAAAGGGAACCAGGAAGCUGCUGUGGAUCCUCUGCAGUAUCUGGAGAGGUCAGAGGAACGGUUCUUGGAACAGAUCGGAAGACACCAAGACGUGACCUCUGCCAUUCUCCAGAACAUCCAGAAAAUGAAUGAAAACCUUGGUUGCACUGAUGGGACGCAUGGUGUCGGUGCUGGAGCAACUGUCCCAGAAUUAAACUGCAUUGUUGACUAUUGGCUUUUCUAGAAAAUAAAUCUUUUUUAGUACUUCACCUGUUUUGUAUUUUACCCAUGCACUUUGGGUGAAUAAACAGAAAUUUGGAAUGAGA